UGAGUGCGAGUUGCUACGGCAACGAAGUUGGUGACGUCAAGCUUCCAAGAAAAGCCCUAUACCCGUUAAGGCAUCAUGGCCUGUACCCGAAACCGACACAGGUGGGGUGGUAGAGAAUACCGAGGGGCGCGAGGUAACUCUCUCUAAGGAACUCGGCAAAAUGGCCCCGUAACUUCGGGAGAAGGGGUGCCACCGCAAGGUGGUCGCAGUGAAGAGGCCCAGGCGACUGUUUACCAAAAACACAGGUCUCCGCUAAGUCGCAAGACGAUGUAUGGAGGCUGACGCCUGCCCAGUGCCGGAAGGUUAAGGAAGCCGGUUAGCGUAAGCGAAGCUGGCGACUGAAGCCCCGGUGAACGGCGACCGUAACUAUAACGGUCCUAAGGUAGCGAAAUUCCUUGUCGGGUAAGUUCCGACCCGCACGAAAGGCGUAACGAUCUGGGCGCUGUCUCGGAGAGAGGCUCGGCGAAAUAGAAUUGUCUGUGAAGAUGCGGACUACGUGCACCCGGACAGAAAGACCCUAUGAAGCUUUACUGUAGCUUGGUAUUGUGCUCGGGCUCGGAAUGCGCAGGAUAGGUGGGAGGCUAUGAACCAUUGCUUGUGGGUGAUGGUGAGCCACUGGUGAGAUACCACUCUUUCCGAGCUAGAGUUCUAACGGCCACCCGUUAUCCGGGGGCCGGACAGUAUCAGGUGGGCAGUUUGACUGGGGCGGUCGCCUCCUAAAAGGUAACGGAGGCGCGCAAAGGUUUGCUCAGGCUGGUUGGAAAUCAGCCGACGAGUGUAAAAGCAGAAGCAAGCUUGACUGUGAGACCUACAAGUCGAACAGGGAGGAAACUCGGCUUUAGUGAUCCGACGGUUCUGCGUGGAAGGGCCGUCGCUCAACGGAUAAAAGUUACUCUAAGGAUAACAGGCUGAUCUCCCCCAAGAGUUCACAUCGACGGGGAGGUUUGGCACCUCGAUGUCGGCUCAUCGCAACCUGGGGCUGAAGUCGGUCCCAAGGGUUGGGCUGUUCGCCCAUUAAAGCGGUACGCGAGCUGGGUUCAGAACGUCGUGAGACAGUUCGGUCCAUAUCCGGUGCAUGCGCAGGAAUAUUGAGAGGAUUUCUCCCUAGUACGAGAGGACCGGGAGGAACGCACCUCUGGUGUACCAGUUAUCGUGCCAACGGUAAACGCUGGGUGGCCAUGUGCGGAGAGGAUAACCGCUGAAAGCAUCUAAGUGGGAAGCCCACCUCAAGAUGAGUAUUCCCAUGGCGUUAGCCAGUAAGGUCACGGGAAGAACACCCGUUGAUAGGCUCUAUGUGGAAGCGCAGUAAUGCGUGAAGCAGAGGAGUACUAAUAGACCGAGGGCUUGACCAA
RNAcentral lists this ribosomal RNA (1352 nucleotides) under metagenome. Its description in RNAcentral is "bacterial LSU rRNA". It matches the Rfam family "Bacterial large subunit ribosomal RNA", at positions 1564 to 2925 of the family's 2925-position model. The record is from RNAcentral.